Molecule: RNA transcript, 1232 nt
Organism: Pongo pygmaeus (Bornean orangutan)
Lineage: Eukaryota; Metazoa; Chordata; Mammalia; Primates; Hominidae
Gene name: circumsporozoite protein-like
Exons: 4
Source: RefSeq, a predicted model, not a curated record
GGCUGGGGGCGGGGUGGGGGCGAUGCCCUUAGCUGCAAAGGCUGCUGGCCUCGGUGGGCUCACGGGGCGGAGAAGAUGGUCGGGCUGCAGGAGGAGGCGCCUGGACCUCCAGAGCAGAGUCGGACAAUACAAGCGCCUCGGACCGAGUCCCCGAACCUGCCCUAGCCAAAAUGGCGGCCGAGAAAGAGCGGAAGUGACACAGGGUCUCACUCUGUUGUCCAGGCAUGAUCACAGCUCACUGCAGCCUUGACCUCCCAGACUCAAGUGAACCUCCCACCUCAGCCUCCCAAGUAGCUGGGACCACAGGUUAAAGAGGCUUUUGUAUACUGGAGAUAUAAGCAAAAAAGGUCUAAGGUGACUUUACGCAGAGAUUGAAGGAUGAGCAGCAGAUGGUCAUCAAGGAGCAUGGAAACAGCAUUUCAGGCAAAGGAAAAUAGAACUCUGUGAACUCAGAAGCAUGCUUAUGGCAUGGAAAGCAAAAAGGAAAGAGCACAAGGCAGAGGUCAGAAAGGGAGGCAGGGGCCAACAAACACAUAGGGGCUUGAGGGACAAGGGAAGGAACUUGGAUUUUUCCCUAGAUGUUAGUGGGAACUCCCUGAACUCCCUGAACUGGAGGGACAAUAAUCUGAUUCUGGUUUUGUGUAUCUAGCUUAAACUCAGGACAGCUUCCCAAAUCUUAUUCACAGAGGUUUUGUGAUCUUUUGGGCUAAGAAUUUAAUUAUAUUGCCUACAAACAAAUAUAAUUGUGUAUGUUUUACUAACAUUUAACUAAAUUCUUGUCUUACUGUAUUAACAUUUCCAUGUUUAAUGAUAGCUAGCAUGCCUGUAUUAAUGCAUGUAUUGGAAAUGAUUCAGCAUUUCACUAUUUGGUGUGAUAUUUGUAUUAGGACUGGGUUAUUUUGAUUAUGCUUAAGAGGUUUCCUUCUAUUCUUAAAGUUUUAACUAGAAAAUAGUAGUAAAUAAUAUCUCCUUUAGCAUCUACAGACUUAACCACACUACAUUGUUAACAUAAUGAAUGAAUUAUAAGUGAUUACCAAUAAUAAGCCAUUCUGGCAUUCCUGGAAUAAACUCUUUUGUUCAUGGUGUUUUACUCUAAUAACUCAAGGCUUAAUUCCAUUUAUCAGAGAAGCCACCUUCCACCUUUUUCUGUGGUCUGAAAGAAUUCAGAUAACGAACUACCUGUUGAUUUGCUCCUCAGGACUCCUAAAAUACAUCAUUUAGUCUCAAAUGUG